UCCUACCAAAUCCUGAUGAACUCCGAAUGCCGUAAUAUAUACUCUGCAGUGAGGGCUAGGGUGCUAAGGUCCUAGUCCGAGAGGGAAAGAACCCAGAUCUGCAGCUAAGGUCCCAAAGUAUAUGCUAAGUUGAACUAAGGCGGUUCAGUUGCUGAGACAGCAAGGAGGUUAGCUUGGAAGCAGCCAUUCCUUUAAAGAGUGCGUAACAGCUCACUUGUCGAGCGACAGAGCAUCGAUAAUAAUCGGGCAUCAAGCAUAUCACCGAAGCUCAGAAUUGUCACGACUUGUCGUGGCAGUGGUAGGGGAGCAUUCUAUAGGCGCCGAAGUUGUGACGUGAGUCAUGGUGGAGCGUAUAGAAAAGCAAAUGUAGGCAUAAGUAACGAUAAUGCGGGUGAGAA
RNAcentral lists this ribosomal RNA (398 nucleotides) under Pseudo-nitzschia fraudulenta. RNAcentral's name for it is "partial Bacterial large subunit ribosomal RNA". It matches the Rfam family "Bacterial large subunit ribosomal RNA", at positions 934 to 1327 of the family's 2925-position model. The record is from RNAcentral. Lineage: Eukaryota; Bacillariophyta; Bacillariophyceae; Bacillariales; Bacillariaceae.